GAUGAACGCUGGCGGCGUGCCUAAUACAUGCAAGUCGAGCGAACAGACGAGGAGCUUGCUCCUCUGACGUUAGCGGCGGACGGGUGAGUAACACGUGGAUAACCUACCUAUAAGACUGGGAUAACUUCGGGAAACCGGAGCUACUACCGGAUAAUAUAUUGCACCGCAUGGUUCAAUAGUGAAAGACGGUUUUGCUGUCACUUAUAGAUGGAUCCGCGCCGCAUUAGCUAGUUGGUAAGGUAACGGCUUACCAAGGCAACGAUGCGUAGCCGACCUGAGAGGGAGAUCGGCCACACGGGAACUGAGAAACGGUCCAGACUCCUACAGGAGGCAGCAGUAGGGAAUCUUCCGCAAUGGGCGAAAGCCUGACGGAGCAACGCCGCGGGAGGGAUGAAGGUCUUCGGAUCGUAAAACUCUGUUAUUAGGGAAGAACAAAUGUGUAAGUAACUAUGCACGUCUUGACGGUACCUAAUCAGAAAGCCACGGCUAACUACGUG
Molecule: ribosomal RNA, 497 nt
Filed under: uncultured bacterium
Lineage: Bacteria
Description: partial 16S ribosomal RNA
Rfam family: Bacterial small subunit ribosomal RNA
Source: RNAcentral